UAGGGAAUAUUAGAAAUGGACGAAAGUCUGAUCUAGCAACACCGCGUGUGCGAAGAAGGCCUUCGGGUUGUAAAGCACUUUUUGGAAGGAUUAGGAAGGAAUGUACUUCCAGAAUAAGUCUCGGCUAACUACGUGCCAGCAGCCGCGGUAACACGUAGGAGGCAAACGUUAUCCGGAUUUACUGGGCGUAAAGCGCGUGUAGGUGGUUCUGUAAGUAGGGCGUGAAAGCUCCUGGCUUAACUGGGAGAGGUCGUUCAAAACUAUCAGACUUGAGAGUGGUAGAGGGAGGUGGAAUUCCGCAUGUAGUGGUGAAAUGCGUAGAUAUGCGGAGGAACACCAGUGGCGAAAGCGGCCUCCUGGCCUAUUUCUGAUGCUCAGACACGAAAGCUAAGGUAGCAAACGUGAUUAGAUACCCUGGUACUU
RNAcentral lists this ribosomal RNA (423 nucleotides) under uncultured prokaryote. RNAcentral describes it as "bacterial SSU rRNA". It matches the Rfam family "Bacterial small subunit ribosomal RNA", at positions 355 to 797 of the family's 1533-position model. The record is from RNAcentral.